UUUUGUAAGAAAAAUAGUUUAGAAGAUAUAAAGCAUCGAAUACAGUGGUGUGAUAUGUUUUUAAAGUAUGUAAAGAAAUUGAUAAUCUGUGAGUGACGGUGGUCGGUUGAAGUCUCAAGUAAUACAGGUAGGGAAGACAGUAAUUUUUCGACGCUAAUUAUCGGCGAAGGAAGAAUGAAUUAUUUUAAAGAAUUGGAAGACUUAUCGAAGACGGGAAUAGAAACUGUGCAGUGAUCGUUUGGU
Molecule: unclassified non-coding RNA, 243 nt
Filed under: Bombus terrestris (buff-tailed bumblebee)
Lineage: Eukaryota; Metazoa; Arthropoda; Insecta; Hymenoptera; Apidae
Description: misc RNA ENSBTSG00005020817.1
Source: RNAcentral